UCAAAACAAAGCGUCUGCAACGUCCGUCGGACUUUCUGGAUCAAACUGGAUCAUGCCAGCAGUGACACAACGCUACAGGAAGAGGACUGAGCCAAAACGUCUCCACAACAAUCAGAGGAACUGAGAUCUGAAAAGGAAGCCGUCUUCCUGCCAACCAGCCUGAAGGCCAAAGAAUCACCAAGCAACCGGAAAACACGAGCAGAAUACCCCUA
This is a long non-coding RNA of Poecilia latipinna (sailfin molly), 212 nucleotides long. RefSeq lists it as uncharacterized. NCBI's taxonomy places the organism in Eukaryota, Metazoa, Chordata, Actinopteri, Cyprinodontiformes, Poeciliidae. The record is from RefSeq and is a predicted model, not a curated record. The transcript is spliced from 3 exons.